AAGCAGAUCGGAUGAACAAAUCCUGGGAAAAGAAAUUCAUUAUUCUCAGAAAUAGCUUUCAUGUGCUCAAGGAUGAGAUGUUCACCAGGCACACGCUGUUCCGCCAAUUUGCGAUGCUUGCUGAC
This 125-nucleotide long non-coding RNA is filed under the name Dasypus novemcinctus (nine-banded armadillo). RNAcentral's name for it is "lncRNA (ENSDNOG00000051906.1)". The record is from RNAcentral. Lineage: Eukaryota; Metazoa; Chordata; Mammalia; Cingulata; Dasypodidae.